CCUACGGGGGGCAGCAGUGGGGAAUAUUGGUCAAUGGGCGCGAGCCUGAACCAGCCAAGUCGCGUGAGGGAAGACGGCCCUACGGGUUGUAAACCUCUUUUGCCGGGGAGCAACGGGCGCCACGUGUGGCGCCCCUGAGAGUACCCGGAGAAAAAGCCUCGGCUAACUCCGUGCCAGCAGCCGCGGUAAUACGGAGGAUGCGAGCGUUAUCCGGAUUUAUUGGGUUUAAAGGGUGCGUAGGCGGCGCGUUAAGUCAGUGGUCAAAUUGAGGGGCUCAACCCCUUCCCGCCAUUGAAACUGGUGCUCUUGAGUGGAAGAGAAGUAUGCGGAAGGCGUGGUGUAGCGGUGAAAUGCAUAGAUAUCACGCAGAACCCCGAUUGCGAAGGCAGCAUGCCGGCUUCCGACUGACGCUGAAGCACGAAAGCGUGGGGAUCGAACAGGAUUAGAUACCCGGGUAGUC
RNAcentral lists this ribosomal RNA (460 nucleotides) under uncultured bacterium. Its description in RNAcentral is "partial 16S ribosomal RNA". It matches the Rfam family "Bacterial small subunit ribosomal RNA", at positions 338 to 795 of the family's 1533-position model. The record is from RNAcentral.